Molecule: ribosomal RNA, 668 nt
Filed under: uncultured bacterium
Lineage: Bacteria
Description: bacterial SSU rRNA
Rfam family: Bacterial small subunit ribosomal RNA
Source: RNAcentral
AGAGUUUGAUCAUGGCUCAGGACGAACGCUGGCGGCAGGCCUAACACAUGCAAGUCGAGCGAUCCCUUCGGGGAUAGCGGCGGACGGGUUAGUAACGCGUGGGAACAUACCCUUCACUACGGAAUAGCCCAGGGAAACUUGGAUUAAUACCGUAUACGCCCCUCGGGGGAAAGAUUUAUCGGUGAAGGAUUGGCCCGCGUUGGAUUAGGUAGUUGGUGGGGUAAUGGCCUACCAAGCCUACGAUCCAUAGCUGGUUUGAGAGGAUGAUCAGCAACACUGGGACUGAGACACGGCCCAGACUCCUACGGGAGGCAGCAGUGGGGAAUCUUAGACAAUGGGGGAAACCCUGAUCUAGCGAUGCCGCGUGAGUGAUGAAGGCCUUAGGGUCGUAAAGCUCUUUCGCCAGGGAAGAUAAUGACUGUACCUGGUAAAGAAACCCCGGCUAACUCCGUGCCAGCAGCCGCGGUAAUACGGAGGGGGUUAGCGUUGUUCGGAAUUACUGGGCGUAAAGCGCACGUAGGCGGAUCAGAAAGUAAGAGGUGAAAUCCCAGGGCUCAACCCUGGAACUGCCUUUUAAACUCCUGGUCUUGAGUUCGAGAGAGGUGAGUGGAAUUCCAAGUGUAGAGGUGAAAUUCGUAGAUAUUUGGAGGAACACCAGUGGCGAAGGC